CUUCAGCAAAUCACAUUUUGGGUAUACAAUGACGGAUUUAAUCGGGAAAAAGACCCAAUUGUGAUGUUUAUGUGACAUAUAGGAGUGCCAAGAAAGAAGCUCAUCAAAGGUAUGAACAAGGUAGAGGAGAAGUUAAAGGCUGGUCGUGUGAAGAGAUUAGAGGGGGGUCUGUUCAGCGAGGAGCCCCAGAGGAAGCACCCUGGUCCAGCCUCCAGGAGAGACCUACCACCCCUCUCCUCUGGACCUGAGCCCUAUGACCAUGCCUCAGGACUACCUCGCCUGAUGACUCCUUGCUGUCCCCAGUCCACCCGGUCGUGCUGCUGCUCCAGUUUCAACUGUUCUGCCUGUGGCUAUGGAAACCUGACCUUUUCACCGGAUGUGCUUGUCCCGGACCUGCUGUUUUCGACUCUCUCUUUCUCUACUGCACCUGCUGUCUCUAACUCUAAAUGAUCGGCUAUGAAAAGCCAAAUUACAUUUUCUCCUGAGGUGCUGACCUGUUUCACCCACUACAACCACUGUGAUUAUUAUUAUCUGACCCUGCUGGUCAUCUAUGAACGUUUGAACAUCUUGGCCAUGUACUGUUAUAAUCUUCACCCAGCACAGCCAGAAGAGGACUGGCCACCCCACAUAGCCUGGUUCCUCUCUAGGUUUCUUCCUAGGUUUUGGCCUUUCUAGGGAGUUUUUCCUAGCCACCGUGCUUCUACAUCUGCAUUGCUUGCUGUUUGGGGUUUUAGGCUGAGUUUCUGUACAGCACAUUGUUACAUCAGCUGAUGUAAAAAGGGCUUCAUAAAUACAUUUGAUU
This is a long non-coding RNA of Oncorhynchus tshawytscha (Chinook salmon), 802 nucleotides long. The record is from Ensembl. NCBI's taxonomy places the organism in Eukaryota, Metazoa, Chordata, Actinopteri, Salmoniformes, Salmonidae.